RNAcentral lists this small RNA (258 nucleotides) under Caulobacter vibrioides NA1000. RNAcentral's name for it is "small non-coding RNA". The record is from RNAcentral. Lineage: Bacteria; Pseudomonadati; Pseudomonadota; Alphaproteobacteria; Caulobacterales; Caulobacteraceae.
AGAAGUUCGGCCGAGAUCAUCUGCGGGGUGGAGGGGGCGUCGGUGGGCUGACCGACACUGCAGCUACCUGAAAUGCAGAGAAAAUGAUCCGCGCCGGGGAGGACGUUCGCGGGAAUUCAUGGGCUUUGGAUGCGCCUUGCACGCGUCCUGACGUUUCGAAGUCGGUGGAUUUCGCGAGCGUGACGUAUUGCUCGCAAUGCGUCGGACUUUGGUAAAGCGCAACUCGGCGCGGGAGCCUCUCCCGCGCCGUUUUCUUAU